Molecule: ribosomal RNA, 253 nt
Filed under: uncultured bacterium
Lineage: Bacteria
Description: partial 16S ribosomal RNA
Rfam family: Bacterial small subunit ribosomal RNA
Source: RNAcentral
UACGAAGGGGGCUAGCGUUGCUCGGAAUUACUGGGCGUAAAGCGUGCGCAGGCGGUUAUGUAAGACAGUUGUGAAAUCCCCGGGCUCAACCUGGGAACUGCAUCUGUGACUGCAUAGCUAGAGUACGGUAGAGGGGGAUGGAAUUCCGCGUGUAGCAGUGAAAUGCGUAGAUAUGCGGAGGAACACCGAUGGCGAAGGCAAUCCCCUGGACCUGUACUGACGCUCAUGCACGAAAGCGUGGGGAGCAAACAGG